Molecule: ribosomal RNA, 251 nt
Filed under: uncultured bacterium
Lineage: Bacteria
Description: partial 16S ribosomal RNA
Rfam family: Bacterial small subunit ribosomal RNA
Source: RNAcentral
UGAGUAACGCGUAUGCGACCUGCCCGUUGCAGGGGGAUAAUCGGGAGAAAUCCCGUCUAAUACCGCGUAAUGCCGCGGGGCUGCAUGGCCCUGCGGCCAAAGGGAGCGAUUCCGGCAACGGAUGGGCAUGCGUGACAUUAGCUAGUUGGCGGGGCAACGGCCCACCAAGGCGACGAUGUCUAGGGGUUCUGAGAGGAAGGUCCCCCACACUGGUACAGAGACACGGACCAGACUCCUACGGGAGGCAGCAG